RNAcentral lists this unclassified non-coding RNA (447 nucleotides) under Hevea brasiliensis (rubber tree). The record is from RNAcentral. Lineage: Eukaryota; Viridiplantae; Streptophyta; Magnoliopsida; Malpighiales; Euphorbiaceae.
AAGCUGGAGAAGUUGCUGUGCUUGAACAGAGUUGGUAGAAGAUCACGGGCAAACUCCGCCGGUUGCCACACCACGAACCCUGUUCCGUCGCCGUUCCAAGAAAUCACGUGAUCAGUCGCCGGAUCCUCCACCAGCAUGUAGGUUUUGAGCAAGAAUGGUGGCGGAGUUGACUUCCGUACAUAUUCCAAGAAACCCUUAUUAUUGUUAUUGUUAUCUAUAGCUGUAGACUCCAUAAGAAAACUUUGCAAGAAAAUAAAAGAAAAGAAACUAAAAGAAACUAAAAGAAAAGAAAAGAAACAGAAAGAGAGAGAAUUAAGGGGAGGCAGAGAAGAGAAGAAGGGCAGUUAAGAACUCCCAACCCCAGCAAUAGAAACCCAACACGACUCCACAGUUCAUGAGAAAUGCAAGGGCUUUUCUUUUCUCUCUUCUCUCCUCUCUCUUUUACAG